GACGAACGCUGGCGGCGUGCUUAACACAUGCAAGUCGAACGAUGAAGCCGGAGCUUGCUCUGGUGAAUUAGUGGCGAACGGGUGAGUAACACGUGAGUAACCUGCCCUUGACUCUGGGAUAACUGCGGGAAACUGUAGCUAAUACCGGAUACGACCCUCGGAGGCAUCUCCUGGGGGUGGAAAGAAUUUCGGUCAAGGAUGGACUCGCGGCCUAUCAGCUAGUUGGUGAGGUAAAGGCUCACCAAGGCGACGACGGGUAGCCGGCCUGAGAGGGUGACCGGCCACCCUGGGACGGAGACACGGCCCAGACUCCUACGGGAGGCAGCAGUGGGGAAUAUUGAACAAUGGGCGCAAGCCUGAUGCAGCAACGCCGCGUGAGGGAUGACGGCCUUCGGGUUGUAAACCUCUUUUAGCAGGGAAGAAGCGAAAGUGACGGUACCUGCAGAAAAAGCACCGGCUAACUACGUGCCAGCAGCCGCCGUAA
This 484-nucleotide ribosomal RNA is filed under the name uncultured bacterium. RNAcentral's name for it is "partial 16S ribosomal RNA". It matches the Rfam family "Bacterial small subunit ribosomal RNA", at positions 28 to 523 of the family's 1533-position model. The record is from RNAcentral.